GCUGUGGUGGUUUUAUGGUAGAAUCUUUGCCUCGCAUGCAGGAAACCCAGGUUCAAUUCCUGGGCAGUGCA
This 71-nucleotide transfer RNA is filed under the name Loxodonta africana (African savanna elephant). It matches the Rfam family "tRNA". Rfam says of the family: Transfer RNA (tRNA) molecules are approximately 80 nucleotides in length. Their secondary structure includes four short double-helical elements and three loops (D, anti-codon, and T loops). The record is from Rfam by way of RNAcentral. Lineage: Eukaryota; Metazoa; Chordata; Mammalia; Proboscidea; Elephantidae.